Molecule: ribosomal RNA, 525 nt
Filed under: Auchenionchus microcirrhis
Lineage: Eukaryota; Metazoa; Chordata; Actinopteri; Blenniiformes; Labrisomidae
Description: partial 16S ribosomal RNA
Rfam family: Bacterial large subunit ribosomal RNA
Source: RNAcentral
UUUAACGGCCGCGGGACCGUGCAAAGGUAGCGCAAUCACUUGUCUUUUAAAUGAAGACCUGUAUGAAUGGCAUAACGAGGGCUUAACUGUCUCCCCUUUUUAGUCAAUGAAAUUGAUCUUCCCGUGCAGAAGCGGGAAUGACAACAUAAGACGAGAAGACCCUGUGGAGCUUUAGACACAAGGACCGCCCGUGUUAAGCAAGCUUAGCAAAAAGCCAAAACUAAUCGGAAUCUGUCACACUGUCUUUGGUUGGGGCGACCGCGGGGUAAUAAAUACCCCCCACGUAGAAUAGGGGGACUAUCCCCCUAAAACAAAGAGCCGCAGCUCUAACUAGCAGAAUUUCUGACUAAAAGUGAUCCGGCAAGACCGAUCAACGGACCGAGUUACCCCAGGGGAUAACAGCGCAAUCCUCUUCCAGAGCCCAUAUCGNCAAGAGGGUUUACGACCUCGAUGUUGGAUCAGGACAUCCUAAUGGUGCAGCCGCUAUUAAGGGUUCGUUUGUUCAACGAUUAAAGUCCUACGUGA